AGUGUAUGUGUGUGUGUGUGUGUGUAUAAAGUGUUAUGGGAGUGCAUGUGUGUGUAUACAGUGUUAUGGGAGUGUAUGUGUGUGUGUGUAUAAAGUGUUAUGGGAGUGCAUGUGUGUGUAUACAGUGUUAUGGGAGUACAUGUGUGUGUAUACAGUGUUAUGGGAGUGCAUGUGUGUAUAUACAGUGUUAUGGGAGUGUAUGUGUGUAUAAACAGUGUUAUGGGAGUGUAUGUGUGUAUAUACAGUGUUAUGGGAGUGUAUGUGUGUAUAUACAGUGUUAUGGGAGUGUAUGUGUGUAUAAAGUGUUAUGAGAGUGCAUGUGUGUGUAUAAUGGUAUGUUCAUACGGCAGAAUUUCCACUGGAAAUUCCACUAUCAUUUUCUGCCCAUUGACUUUAAUGGGAUUCUGCUGUCCCAUUCAGACAGCAGAAUUUCUGCGGAAAUUCUGCAUACCACAAAAAUAUAAGAUUAGUCUUAUUUUGCAGAAUUCCACAGCGGAAUUCCAUUAAAGUCAGUGGAGCUUGAAUUUUGGCAAAAUUCUGUGUUCUGAGAACACAGAAAUUCUGCCAAAAUUAUGCCCAAAUUCCACCAGAAGCUUUGCUGAAUAGAAUUUCUGCGGAAUUGCAGAAAUUCUGCAGUGUGAACAUACCCUAAGGCUCCCUUUAGAUAUAAAGCAUAUUUCAAAAGUAUUUAGUCUUCAGAUGGCAUGGUGUGUCGUAGUACUUUAUUCAGAGUGCACUGGGAAGCAGUAUUUUAAUCAGAUGGUACAGUGUAGCAGUAUUUUAUUCAGGGGUACAGUGUGUGCCAGUAUUCAGGGGGGCAGUGGGUGGCAGUAUUAUAUUCAGGGAGCACAGUGUAUGACAGUAUUACAUUCAGGGAGCACAUUUUUCUGGUAGGGUUACAUUCAUGGGGUACAGUGUGUGUCAGUAUUACAUUCAUGGGGUACAGUGUGUGUCAGUAUUAUAUUCAGGGGGUACAGUGGGUGGCAGUAUUAUAUUCAGGGGGUACAGUGGGUGGCAGUAUUAUAUUCAGAGGAUACUGUGUGUGGCAGUAUUUUUUUCAGAGGGAACAGUGUAUGGCAGUAUUAUAAUCAGCGGCUAGGGUAUUUAGCAGGGUGAUAAUGAUUAUUGUCUUCAUACAGAGAAUAGGUAUCUGCUAACAAAGUGAGGAACCAAUGUGCGGACGUCACACUUUACAUAGAAGAUGGAAGAAGACAUGGCAUCUGGACCACAUGGAAAAGAAAAGGAGAGACAACAGAGAAGACGUCACUCAGGGUCCUGGAUCCAUGUGUGAAGACUUUUUGGGAGGUUAGAGUGUGAUUCAGGAAAUUUUAACAGACAUCCAACACAAGCACAAGCGCACAGCCUAUAGGAGUUGUCACAGUUCCGACUGCGCACAGCAAUGCACAUGUGCCCACUUUACAUCUGAAGAAUCCUCCGCUGACACUGGACACUAUCCCUGGACUUAUA
Long non-coding RNA from Hyla sarda, 1467 nucleotides. RefSeq lists it as uncharacterized. NCBI's taxonomy places the organism in Eukaryota, Metazoa, Chordata, Amphibia, Anura, Hylidae. The record is from RefSeq and is a predicted model, not a curated record. The transcript has 3 exons.